Cyanistes caeruleus (blue tit) is the source of this 1198-nucleotide non-coding RNA. Lineage: Eukaryota; Metazoa; Chordata; Aves; Passeriformes; Paridae. The record is from RefSeq and is a predicted model, not a curated record.
UAGCAUGUUUGUGCCUAAUACGUUGGAGAAAUUGUUCAGAAACAAUUCAGCCAUGUGAAAAUAUGUCCCUUGUAAUAUUGCCAAGGUCAGAAAAACCUAAGGAGAUCCGCUGAGCCAGCUUGGGGAAGAGAGGGAACAUGGCUCUUCCUACCUGUUGACAUGUCCCUGCCUGGAAAGUCCAUCUGCAAACAUGACAGUGGUAUUCACAUAUUUUUGCCUGCAAGACCAUGCUGGGUGACUGAAAGCAUGUGUGGAAUCUGGAACAUUUAUGGUGCAAACAUCAUUUCAGCAUUCUCCUACGCAAGAGAUGAUGAAACUUCCAAAGAUGAGAGCCUAUGUAAAUAUGUGUUAUCCAUCAGCUAGGCAAACAGAUGAUGGACUGCUGUUUUUAGAAGCUCCAGAUGAUGGCCAUGAUCCUGUAAUGUGAUUAUUGUGAACAGAGACAUACAUCUGCAACCCAAUUCUUGCUCUGCAGAUCCAUUGAAUAUAAAAAAGAAUAUCCAGAAUAUGAAAAAGACUACCCUCCAUAAAUUCCAGUGUCAUCUUCUCUCUUCUUAUUAAUGCUUAAUUUAAAUCUUGACAUCUAACUCUUCUUCAGCAUUCACGAUUAGAGAAAUUAAUUUAAGUUUCUUCUGAAAGCAUAUCAGCAAAUGAGCAUCAAUGCAGGUAUCUAUUUAUUCCUUCAGCAGUGAAGUUAAACAUUUUGUGCUUUUAACUGCAUGGUACAAAAUAAAGCUAUUUGCUUGAGUUAUUAAUCCAGGAUAACCUGAUAUAAUGUGAUAGUAAAAAUUCUUUUCCCAAAGAAGAAAAAUACAUGCUCUACUCAGUAUCUCCUGGUGACUCUGCUCCAAGUGAAUAAAUAUACAGCUGAAUUCUCCCAGCCAGGUGUGAUCCAGGAACAAACUGGCAGCACAUCUUUGUGUUUGCUAAUGCAAAUUCUAACUCACAGAAGUGGCCCAUCAUUAAUUCUUCAGUUAAAAAUGUUUUCUCUGUCUUCUCAAGAAUAAUAUUCUACAGAACAUGUCACAAGCUCAGAAAAAUCACCUUAAUUCUCUAAAGAAUGAGGCACAUGUCUUGCACUGAUGUACAAUGAAGUAUCACAUGCAAGACUGGUGUUUCAGGACUCAGCCACUAUAGAUUAAAUGGAAGCAAAAAAGGGAACUCUUGUUUGAAAUAGACAAUAAAUAUUCUUAAAGAC